GAGCUGGGAACAGCAGCCAGGCUAAGCUGAACAGUCUCAUGCUGCAGCUGGCGCUGCCUGAAUCGUGAGGGACAGCCCCAGGAUGUGCUGCAGAGGGAGAGUUUGGGUGUGGGGGUUUCACACAUGUAAGUGCUGAGGCUUUUGCCUGCUGGUGUGAAUCAUCACUGGACCAGACUGUCUCCAGCCUUUCCCCAGCAAGCAAAGGAGAGAGUGGUGAUACGAGGAGCUUCCCUUCCAUGCCUUCCACACCACACCAUCCAGGGGCUGGUCCAUGUCCCCUGAGUAUCGACCGGAGCUCAGCGCAGCCUGCAGCACGAGGCCUACAUUCUACACCAGCGCCCCGCUUUGGCACUGCAGCACAGUUAUCAGACUUAUGGUACUUUCAAGUGAAGAAUGGGAUCAGAUUCUGAGAGAGAGAGAGAGAGAGAGAGAGACAGACAGACAGACUGAUGGUCUCUCAUGGUUAUUACAACACUGGAGCAGAGGAUAGACACUGAUUUGUUCCUGACACCCGGACAGGAUGUUGGCUGCUGUAUUAUUUUCAUGGAGUUAUAAGAUAUAGAGUCUUGUGGAGCCUCUCUGCCAGUCACCCAGAUGGAGGCUGUUUGCAAUGACACCCAGUGGAGCUGUAGCUGACACUGAUGUUGUCAAAUGUUUGUCCAGAUCAGUCCAAGGAUUUGUUGCUCACAGGUUGUCAUUCUGUGACCCUGUGUCACGGCCAGCGUUAACAGCAUGGACAUGGUGUCAUGCUGAAGCAGCCUUUGUCAGACUGCACAAUCUGCCUUAGGUGGUUUGGUGCAGUGGCCAUGAAAGCACCACUGAAUAUGACAGGUAACCCCGAGCCAUAGAGCUGCGGUGGUAAUUCUCUGAGUGGCCAGAAGACUGACAGGUCCCUGUCUACUCUGAGCUCCCACUCCUGAUUCACUGUUUGAUUUUUAUUGCAGUCAGACAUUGCCAUCUCCGCCGGCUGAAUCAGCAACUGUGUGAACAAUUCAGUUCACGAGCCUCCUGCCUGUCUGUACCGACCGUCAGCCCCUGUGCCAAGAAUCCAAGUGUGGCAUUCCCCAUUCACUGCUGCACUGAUAGGAAAGCGAACGGCCUGGAGGCCACAUCACACUAGAAACUCACUAUGGACAGAUGCUGAUGCUUCUUCCUGUUCCGAUAAAGGGGCCCACCACAUUUGUCUCCAUUCUCUCUGUCAUGCCAACUGUCUGCAGGACUAGGCACUAAGCUGUUAGGAACCAGACAGGUCCCUAACCUUUUAUUUAAGGAUGGCUGAAGCUUUUGGUUUCAGUGACACUUCUCAGGCUGUGAUGUGGUUUAUGUCCAUUACAGUAAUGAGAUCUCAGUGCCAUGGCCUGCAGUCAAUUCCAGGGGCCUUAAAUUCAGAGUGAAAUCUAUUAGCAGACAAAAUACUUUUACUUUAGUAACAACCUCGGCUGAUAGGACAGAAGCCGUCUUGUUGCCACCCAUCCUGCAUCACAGACACU
RNAcentral lists this long non-coding RNA (1490 nucleotides) under Chrysemys picta bellii (western painted turtle). RNAcentral's name for it is "lncRNA (ENSCPBG00000018275.1)". The record is from RNAcentral. Lineage: Eukaryota; Metazoa; Chordata; Testudines; Emydidae.